CUACGUGCCAGCAGCCGCGGUAAUACGGAAGGUCCAGGCGUUACCCGGAUUUACUGGGUUUAAAGGGAGCGUAGGCCGUGGAUUAAGCGUGUUGUGAAAUGUAGACGCUCAACGUCUGAAUUGCAGCGCGAACUGGUUCACUUGAGUAUGCACAACGUAGGCGGAAUUCGUCGUGUAGCGGUGAAAUGCUUAGAUAUGACGAAGAACUCCGAUUGCGAAGGCAGCUUACGGGAGCACAACUGACGCUGAAGCUCGAAGGUGCGGGUAUCAAACAGGAUUAGAUACCCUGGUAGUCCGCACAGUAAACGAUGGAUGCCCGUUGUUAGUUCACUUAAGAAUUAGCGACCAAGCGAAAGCAUUAAGCAUCCCACCUGGGGAGUACGCCGGCAACGGUGAAACUCAAAGGAAUUGACGGGGGCCCGCACAAGCGGAGGAACAUGUGGUUUAAUUCGAUGAUACGCGAAGAACCUUACCAGGUCUUGACAU
This 486-nucleotide ribosomal RNA is filed under the name uncultured bacterium. RNAcentral describes it as "bacterial SSU rRNA". It matches the Rfam family "Bacterial small subunit ribosomal RNA", at positions 501 to 987 of the family's 1533-position model. The record is from RNAcentral.